GACGAACGCUGGCGGCGUGCUUAACACAUGCAAGUCGAACGAUGAAAGCUGGAGCUUGCUCCGGCUGGAUUAGUGGCGAACGGGUGAGUAACACGUGAGCAAUCUGCCCUUGACUCUGGGAUAACUCCGAGAAAUCGGUGCUAAUACCGGAUAUGACCCUUGGCGGCAUCGCUGGGGGUGGGAAGUUUUUCGGUCAAGGAUGAGCUCGCGGCCUAUCAGCUUGUUGGUGAGGUAAUGGCUCACCAAGGCGACGACGGGUAGCCGGCCUGAGAGGGUGACCGGCCACACUGGGACUGAGACACGGCCCAGACUCCUACGGGAGGCAGCAGUGGGGAAUAUUGCACAAUGGGCGCAAGCCUGAUGCAGCAACGCCGCGUGAGGGAUGACGGCCUUCGGGUUGUAAACCUCUUUUAGUAGGGAAGAAGCGAAAGUGACGGUACCCGCAGAAAAAGCACCGGCUAGCUACGUGCCAGCCGCCGCCGUAA
This 485-nucleotide ribosomal RNA is filed under the name uncultured bacterium. RNAcentral describes it as "partial 16S ribosomal RNA". It matches the Rfam family "Bacterial small subunit ribosomal RNA", at positions 28 to 523 of the family's 1533-position model. The record is from RNAcentral.